Molecule: long non-coding RNA, 1032 nt
Filed under: Calidris pugnax (ruff)
Lineage: Eukaryota; Metazoa; Chordata; Aves; Charadriiformes; Scolopacidae
Description: lncRNA (ENSCPUG00000015104.1)
Source: RNAcentral
GGCGGGGCCGUGAGGCUGCAGCCGAUGGUGGAGCGCCAUCUCCUGCCCGCCAUGGGCCCGGUUCUCUUCGGCGGUGAAGCCGGUGUGGGGGGGGACGGCGGACAUGGCCGCCUGCCCUGUCAGGCACCGGGUUACCCGGGUUGCUUUCAGAGAGGGGCUGCCGAGAGACGGUGUCUGGGGACAUUCCUUUAUAAAGGAGGAGAAAUACAACUUGUGAUUGCGAAAUGCAACUCUUUGUUUUCCUGGCCGGUCUGAGGGAGCUGUGUCAAAGCAGUGGACCUGAGCGGUCCGAAAGGCUGGGCGGCUUCUCUGAGGGAGGGUGGCGGCGGUGCCUCAGGUCAUCCCCGCCGCUUCUAACGGCAGCGGGACAGGCAAACCCACCCGCUUCUAACGGCAGCGGGACAGGCAAACCCACCCGCCUUUUAACGUCUUAGGGUAAAAAUCAGCCGCGAGUGUGAGGUGGGGAGCGGGAGGGCCAGGUGAGGGGCGGUAAAUCCUGUCAGCGGUGCUGGUGGGGGGGGUGGACGGCGGGAAAGAGCAUUUGUGCACGGAACGGGGAAAGGACGGAGCACCCAGACUCGGCUCCUUUAAUCAUCAGAUUCAGGUGGUUGUGUUGAUUAUUUAUUUUGAGGAGGGAGGGGGAAGGUUGGAUUAUUUUGAGGCGGAGGGGCAGGGCCCUCACCCUCCCGUUCCCCCGGAGCCGUGUCCCGCCCGGCCGCCUGCGCGUUGCGAUGCCCGGGGAGGUGGCACAGGCUGCGGCCGUUCCUUCAUCCAUCCAUCCAUCCUCCCAUCCACGCAUCCAUCCAUCCAUUCGAGGAGGAGGAGGAAGGAGGUGGCAGGGAGCCCCCCCUCUCCUUUCUCCCCUCCCCGCGGCGGCGGGGCUCCGGCCGGAGGCGGCGCAGCCUCCCCGCCGCUGCCAGGCGCUUUCGGGCUCGGCUCUCUGGACGGUGGAGCCGAUGGCUACAGGCCACCUCUGUGCAGGGGUGUGUAAACUUGAAGAACGCGGGCUUUUGCACUUAAAAAUCUCCAGUU